UGGCUCAGGACGAACGCUGGCGGCGUGCCUAAUACAUGCAAGUCGAGCGGACAGAAGGGAGCUUGCUCCCGGAUGUUAGCGGCGGACGGGUGAGUAACACGUGGGUAACCUGCCUGUAAGACUGGGAUAACUCCGGGAAACCGGAGCUAAUACCGGAUAGUUCCUUGAACCGCAUGGUUCAAGGAUGAAAGACGGUUUCGGCUGUCACUUACAGAUGGACCCGCGGCGCAUUAGCUAGUUGGUGAGGUAACGGCUCACCAAGGCGACGAUGCGUAGCCGACCUGAGAGGGUGAUCGGCCACACUGGGACUGAGACACGGCCCAGACUCCUACGGGAGGCAGCAGUAGGGAAUCUUCCGCAAUGGACGAAAGUCUGACGGAGCAACGCCGCGUGAGUGAUGAAGGUUUUCGGAUCGUAAAGCUCUGUUGUUAGGGAAGAACAAGUGCAAGAGUAACUGCUUGCACCUUGACGGUACCUAACCAGAAAGCCACGGCUAACUACGUGCCAGCAGCCGCGGUAAUACGUAGGUGGCAAGCGUUGUCCGGAAUUAUUGGGCGUAAAGGGCUCGCAGGCGGUUUCUUAAGUCUGAUGUGAAAGCCCCCGGCUCAACCGGGGAGGGUCAUUGGAAACUGGGAAACUUGAGUGCAGAAGAGGAGAGUGGAAUUCCACGUGUAGCGGUGAAAUGCGUAGAGAUGUGGAGGAACACCAGUGGCGAAGGCGACUCUCUGGUCUGUAACUGACGCUGAGGAGCGAAAGCGUGGGGAGCGAACAGGAUUAGAUACCCUGGUAGUCCACGCCGUAAACGAUGAGUGCUAAGUGUUAGGGGGUUUCCGCCCCUUAGUGCUGCAGCUAACGCAUUAAGCACUCCGCCUGGGGAGUACGGUCGCAAGACUGAAACUCAAAGGAAUUGACGGGGGCCCGCACAAGCGGUGGAGCAUGUGGUUUAAUUCGAAGCAACGCGAAGAACCUUACCAGGUCUUGACAUCCUCUGACAACCCUAGAGAUAGGGCUUUCCCUUCGGGGACAGAGUGACAGGUGGUGCAUGGUUGUCGUCAGCUCGUGUCGUGAGAUGUUGGGUUAAGUCCCGCAACGAGCGCAACCCUUGAUCUUAGUUGCCAGCAUU
This 1123-nucleotide ribosomal RNA is filed under the name Bacillus pumilus. Its description in RNAcentral is "bacterial SSU rRNA". It matches the Rfam family "Bacterial small subunit ribosomal RNA", at positions 20 to 1125 of the family's 1533-position model. The record is from RNAcentral. Lineage: Bacteria; Bacillati; Bacillota; Bacilli; Caryophanales; Bacillaceae.